GGAAGUCUAAACCGGAGGUGGGGUUGCUCCGGUAAGACCCUCCGACGCUCAAGUCAGUUUUCGGCCUCAACAAGAAUGGAGUGCUCGAACGAAGAAUUUAGCAGAGUUUUGAGAUAAAGAAAAGGAGCUUAAAGAAUAACAUAUCUGGGUCUCCCUUUUAUAGGCGGAGGAGGCAAAGGAUUGAUGGCGACAUUUGUAACCGCCUGGCAGCGGGCCGCCCAUGGUCAGGGGAAUUGAUUGCGAAAGAUAGUGGGGUAGACCCGUGGCUAUCGCCAUAGCCUGCCACGUAGGGCCUGUUGUAGGUAGUGGGGCGACAUCCGUUGCCGCUAGUUGUCAGCGAGUAGUGGGAUCGUGCAGCACCUGCC
This 365-nucleotide long non-coding RNA is filed under the name Elaeis guineensis (African oil palm). RNAcentral describes it as "long non-coding RNA (EGUI_LNC009082)". Lineage: Eukaryota; Viridiplantae; Streptophyta; Magnoliopsida; Arecales; Arecaceae. The record is from RNAcentral.